UGACCCAAAGUUACGGGUAAAAUGACCCCCGUUUUCCCAGAGUGACAUGGCCCAGCACUGGUGUGACUAUCACACGUGUCGUCACCGCAUCCAGCUCCACCCAAAGCACUUCCAACAGCCGGUGGCAUGCACUCAAGCCCUGGACGUCUGUCAUGCUGGCAGGCAGGGGCGGGUUCUGUUGGUCAGACCAGACAAUCCCGUCUGGCACUGCCACUGCAGAUGCGCACCCAUGUGGCCGAUCCUCUUGCAUGUAGGGUUGGCAGGGGUACUAUACUAGAAAAGAGUAC
This 287-nucleotide long non-coding RNA is filed under the name Volvox carteri. RNAcentral's name for it is "long non-coding RNA (VCAR_LNC002973)". Lineage: Eukaryota; Viridiplantae; Chlorophyta; Chlorophyceae; Chlamydomonadales; Volvocaceae. The record is from RNAcentral.